RNAcentral lists this long non-coding RNA (18720 nucleotides) under Gossypium barbadense (sea-island cotton). Its description in RNAcentral is "long non-coding RNA (GBAR_LNC020763)". Lineage: Eukaryota; Viridiplantae; Streptophyta; Magnoliopsida; Malvales; Malvaceae. The record is from RNAcentral.
GGGAAACAAAUAACAAAUUCUUCCUGAUAUUCGGCACACACAAAAUAUUAAACAGAUGGAGCACUUUAUUUUUCGUAGGCAAGGUAGAAUGUCCAACAGACAUAAUUUUUGCAAAGGUCUCAUCACUCAUUAAAAGAUAAGAUGUACCUGAGUAUGGCGUAGACUCAUUCAAAGUAGAGGCCUUUUUCUAGACAUGAUGUGUAACUCCUGAAUUAGGAUACCAUGAUGAAGUCCCUACAAGUAUAGGAAUAUAAGAAUCAAUAUUAUCAAAAUUGGACCCAUAUUGGGUCGUAUUCACAAUAGACCUAGUGGUGUUUGAGAAAUCUAACGCUGGUACAUCUGGAACCCGUGGCAACCCAACACACAGUGAGGAAUCAAAAACAAAAUUCGAAUCUAAAGCCCUAACUCCAAAAGGUGGCCCAAGAAGAACAUGUUCUUUAGGCUUUGUUAACCACGGAACACUCGAUCCACCAUUCGACCCACCAUUGUGCUCGCUUGGCCCACCAUUCAGCCCAUGAAUACCCACAUCGUUGACACCUAGGCGCUCAACACCGUGUCUAUGACCAGGUGGACCCCCAAACUAACAAAAUUAGCACCCGACCCAAGGCGUUGGCUAGCAUUAUGCGGCCUAAAGAAAUGGCUUACACCAUUCGGCCUAGAAAGACUAGCAUGUAGCCUAAAAUUCUGGCCUGCAACAAAUGGCCCGGUGAGGCCCAUGCCAUGUGACCCAUUUGCCAAACCAUCAAAAGGGUUAUGUGAAACCCUAAAAUCUACCACAUUUGUUACUGCCGCAUCUUGUAGAAGAAACUCCCACCAUCAGCCAUGGCUGAAACCAGGUGGAGCCGCUGUCGCAAAAAGGCCGAAUGAGCCUAGAACCUUCGGAGGGAAAGAGCAACCACCAUAGGCAGCACCUUUGCGUCGAUUCACAGCACCCGAACCAAAACCAUCGCACGACCCCCUUACAUCACUGUCAAUCGAAGCCUAUGCAUUUAAAGCCUGAGCUAUUGUCGUAGAGGGGUUGUCAUAGUCCCGAUUGAACCGAUAAUAACACCGCUGCGCCAAGCGCCCAAAUUUACCACAGAAUUGGCACAGGAUCUGAGAGUGAAAACCCCUUCCAUUGCCACCAGUAAAUGAGUGACCACCACGCGCGGGUUCCACCGCUAUCGGCGUCGGAGCAGCCUCCAUCAGAUUUGCAUGAAACGGCACGUCCUGCGCCACACGAGUCUGUCGAAUCUUAUAUUCCAAUAGAACAUCCACAAGUCGUUGCAUGGGAAGUAGCUCGAACGAGAACGAGGCUAGAGUGAGAACAACGUCGUGCUCCGAUGGCAGGCCCACAAGAACAAUUUUCACCUUCUCAGCCUCCGAGAUUCGAGAUCUAGAUGCUUCGAUCAAGGCACAAGUAUUUUGAAUCUUAGCCACAUAUUCUUUCAUUAUCAUAUUACCUUUUUUAAUCGAAUGCAAAUCAUGUUUAAUGCGAGAUAACUUUGCUCCGGUUACAGCGGCGAACAAUCGGUUUGCUGUACUCUAUACAUCACAUGAUGAUUUUUCAUCUGUAAAACACGAAAGAAGAGUACCACUAAUUGUGGACAACAACCAGGAUGCAAGCAACUUAUCUUGCUGAUGGAACAACGAAGCCUCUAGAUUAGGAACCAGAGGACCCUCCAAAGAUGGAAUAAACCGUGGUGGAGCAGGUAAGGUACCUUCAAUAAAUCUUGUUAAGUCAUAGCCUUCAACAAUAUUCAACUUUAUGUGUUGUUACCACUGUACAAAGUUAGUUUCAUCUAAUUUGACAGUAUCAUGUCGAGGGAAGCAUUGAAUUAAUCGAGAAUUUGACAGUAUAUUGGAUGAAUUACCAUUGUUUACAGAAACGGACUCGGUUGAGUUAGCCAUGAACGCGCAGCACGAGCAAGUCUCCAAGACUUAGGCGAAAGAUACCAUGUAAGUGUAUCCAACAAUUCAAUAGGAAAUGAAAUGAUUGAAAAUGAACUGAGAAAUUGAGUUAUUAUUAUUGCUCUCCUAAUACAGUAAAUAAAGUAUAUUUAUACAAUCUUCAAAGGGAUAACUGCUACUAACAACUUAUGAAUAGUACUCUAACAAAAUACUAACAGUCGAACAGCCUAACAGACUCUUCACUAAUUACUAAUGAUGAUAUACUAACAUAUUAAAACAAAUGAUAGUGAGACACUAUUGGAACUAGAAAGGAUAUAUGCCAACCCUGAAAUGUUUUGAGUUCUGCAGUAAAAUACACUGUUUGGAAAAGCUUGGGGCCUUCCAUUGUAGUUUGGGCUUAUACGGCUUAUGCCCUUAACAUGAGAAUUCUCAUGAUAAUUCAAAACUUGGAACUAGCUUCUUUUCAGCCACAGUUGUGUUGAAUCAUUGAUGCAGGUUGUGUCUUUAACUUUCCAGUCGGUACUCUUUCCACAUGGUGGAGCAGGGAAAUUCAUAAUCAUAAUAGCUCAGUUGGUUCGUUGGAAUUCAUAGGAAUUUCCUCAAACGUAUUUAUUGUCAUCUCCCAAUCUCCUUGCGAUUAGAUUUACUGGCCGGAUUUCCAUUAUCGUGUUUUACAAGUUCCUAACAGUUCCAAUCUAAUGCUUGGUCCUACAACUUAACUACAGAAAAGGGGUAUCCCGCAUAUUAUCAUUGUCAAAUAUGAAAGAUCAUGUUCGCUUGGACCACGAGUUUCUUUAGCUUUCACGUCAAUGGCAGCCUGGAAUUUUUUAAAAAAAAAACCUCUUAGAAUUUUUUUUCUAUCUGAGAGUAAUGUUACUUAUGUGAUCAUGAAUACCCAUUGACUUAGUUUUUUUCUGUUCCUUUUUACCAGAAAAGCUAUAGGGAAAAGCAUAAAAUUAAGCUACCUUGAGGCUAAAAUCAAGCUUACACUUAAAUUUAUUAAAUUGUAGUUUUAUAAUAAUUAAAAUUUCAAAACAAUAAAUUUUAUGUUUAGUUGGACACAGUUGUUGCAAAUAUAUAACUUUUACAUGUGAAAUAAUCUUGUAAAUAUAUAAUAAUAAAAUUCUCUUUUUUGAAAAGUAAAUCUUUCUUAUUUUUUUUAUUGGAAAAAAAGUCAUUUUAUUAAAAGAUAUAACUAUGUUUUAAAGUAGUUAUUUAUAUUAAAAGAUACAGUUUGAUUAAUAUUAUAAACUUCUUUUCAUUAUCUAACUUGAAGAUUUUGUUAAAUUGUAGACAUGUAAAAAAAAUGUUUACAGAUUUAGUUGUUGCGUAAUAAUUUCAUCAUUUUUAAUUCCGGAAUUAAUUUUCCAUUCAUUAUGUCAAUUAAUUUAAGGUGUUUUAUAUUUUCAAAACAUAAGCAAUGUGGAAUUAAACUUUAACAUUUUUUUACAAUUGGAUAAAUAUUAUACUUUUUAUAUAUAUAUAUAUAUUUCUAAAAGUAAAAAAAGAAGAAGAAAGUGUCCAAUUGUAUAAAGAAUGCAAAUAUAUAUCAUGAUAUUUAUCUUUAAAAAUAAGUCACAUCUAAUUAUUUUACGUAGUUAAAGUGAAAAAUUAGCCUAAAAGGAAAAUGAAGAAUUUAAAAUGAUGAAAUUAGAAUAUAAUUGAUGUACAGAAUUCUAAAACAAAUAUAAUAUAGGAAUUUGAGUAAAUUCUUUUAACAUUUUAUCGGGUGUAGAAUGCUAGCUUUCACUUUUUCUUAUAUGGAUUUGUAAAAAUAAAAUUAUAAAUAAAGAUUAAAAAAUUGAGUUGUCCACAUUGGAAUUGGGAUAUGUUAGUAGUAAGCUGAUUUGAUACCAAAUCAAAACAUGUCAAAAUCAACAGCGAGGACCGAGGAAUUUGAAAUAAAUGUUGUGUGGUUCAGUUCCAGUGAUUGCUUCUUGGACUUCCAAAACUUUCGUAUUUGUAUUUUUCGAUCGUACGGGUUUUAUGCAUUCUUCAAUGGCCAAGGGCCCUAAUCCCAUUUAUUGUUCUGCAUUUUGUUCACCACGCAGGGGUUUAGUCCUUUUAAAUUUAUAAUUAACCUUAUAAUUAAUUUUUUAUUGGGUUUCAUCCUUGAAUACUUUCUAUAGAAUAUUCACACGUGUUAAAUGUGUUAGAUGGUUGUUACCUAGUUGCUAGAUUGUUAAUUCUUUUGUAACAAUUUGGUUAUACAGGAUCCUGUUUUUAUAAGUAGAGUUUGUACACAGUAAAUAGAGAUAUUUAUUGAGUUAUCAUAUUGAUGAAUUGAAAUUUGGAUAAAUAAUUUAAUUAGAAAUGUGGUUAAUUAAGGUUCAGGGGCUAGAUUAUAAAAAUUUAAUCGCUAUAGCUUUUUAAUUAGAAAAAGGCUUAGGGACGUAAAUAACAAUUAAUCAAAUGAUUAAAAUGGAAAAUAAACCAAUUCAAAAAGGAUGUUAGUGGACGGUGAUGGACGGUGUCAUUUAAUUAAGUUAAUUAAACUAGUUUAAUUACAAUUAAACCAUAGUAUAAAUAGGAAAUGAAGUGGAGGAGAGAUGAAAUGUUGUUAUCUUCUUCCCAAAACCGUAGCAACCAAGGAAGAAAAAGAAGGCUUAAGGUUUUGCAAGCAUUCAACAAUACAAUUAGGUAUGGAAAUUUAGUUAUUUUAUUGUAAUUUGUAUAGAUUUGAGGUCAUGAGAGCUUGAUUUAGCUAGUCUAUGUACUAAAUUGUGAAACUAUUAAAAUUUUAGGAAGUUUUCAUUGAUAAAAAUUGAAUGAUUUAUGUAACACCUCAUACCUAGCCUAGACGUUAAGACCAAGUCUAGAGAGCUACAUCACAAUAUUUCAGAAAAAUCAACUCUUUAACCAUUUAAAGUUUGACUAACGUGAUCAUAUAUAAUCAAGUCAAUACGAAGUCCAAAUCAUAGUCUGAAAUUCGAAAUGCACAUAAUAGUAUAAGUCUAAAUAAAACAUUAAAUAAGAAGUAAAGAGAUAACCGAGCUCCUACCAUGCCGACCUGCCUAAGCCUGUAGGUUACCUGAAAUCCAUUCAAUAACUAAGUGAGUUUGCAACUCCAUGUGUGUAACUUACAUGUAGUAAUAAUUAGUAAACUACAAUUGUAAUCUCAUUUACCGUAGAUCAUCCGUUACUCAGAAUUAGAUACAGAACAAAAACAAAGAAAGUCGGAUAUAGUUACAUGGUAUGUCAGAUACAGAUGCAGAACAUCUCAAAUUCAGAUGCAGAUUCCUAACCCCAUGCGCUACACACUAUCUUUAAUAAUCCCAACACACCAUAUAGGGCAUCAAACACUCGUCCAUCCCUACAUACCACGUAGUGACCAUAUGCCACAUUUUAGAAUAAUCGCAGCAUAGCUGCCAGAUCAGAAUGCGAUAAAUCGCUACCAGAUUCAACAAAUAAUUAAACUGAACAUUUCUUUCUUUAAACAGCCCCAAUCCCGAUGUAGAUGCAAUCCAACAGAUGUAGAUAUAAGUAUGCAGAGUAACAUAUUCGGAUCAUACCUAGUUAAUACAACAUACAUUUACUUGCUUGUCUACAAUCUCAACGUUAUUGGCAUAAUAACAGUUCAUACAGAAACAAAUUAUCCACUAAUGGAUUUCAUAGCCCAAAUUAGAUCAUACGGGCCCUACGGUAGGAUUAUGUUCAACGAAAAAGACGUUUACGACCCUAAAAACAUUUAGAAUCUUGGUCCACACGCCCGUGUGGUUUUAUACGGCCUAAAUAACUAGCCCACGUGGUUCUACACGGCCUGAAAAACGCUUGUGUCCUUAGUCCAUGUGGUUCUAAUAUUCAAACAGUGUGUUACGUGGCCUCGACAAACGCCCGUGUCCUUGGCGCGUGUGAACCCUGCACAGUACAUACCCACACACGGCCUUGAGAAACGCCCGUGUCCUUAGCUUGUGUGUCUCUAAUUUUUGAACAGCCGAUGACUUGACCAACUCUCUCGCUUUACUCGAAUUGAGCUUCACUGAUCUAAGCUUCACUAUUUUCAUUGCAACUUUUUACCAGAAGUUCGAUGACAAACUCACCUCUUCCUUGGGUGGAAACCCCUCCGAUAACUCAACAAGCUCCGAUGUUGCCUUUUUUUUACUACAACUUGUUUGGGAAAGUUUCGUAACUCAGCUACACGGUCUGCCACACAGCUUAGCACACAGUUUAGCACACAGCCUACCACACGUCCUACCACACGUCCUGACACACGAUCGGGUGACAUUAAAGCUAUGUUUUUCGGCGUUUGAAUUUCACAAAAGAAGUUAAGUUUUUCUUACACAUACUUGAUAUAGAUUCAACGCAGAUACAACAGGAGUGAUUCCAAAACCUAAAAAUGAUAAGCAGGGUUUCAAUCAAUGACUUAAAUGUACAAUUCACAAAAAAAAUAGUCAAGCCCACAUGUCGAAAACUUCAGCGCUAACCCAAAAAGUAAACGAACUAUUACCGAUAAAUCAACAACAAUUCCUCGAACUUAGACCGUUGAGGGAACAUUUUCUGCAAGAUCUUUGCUUAACAAACCCUAAUUGCACAAUUAACGAAAAUUUAAACUAUAAUAGUAUUUUCUAACUUUAAAAAAUAAUAAAAAACUCAUGAAAACAAAAAAGAAUGACGAUAGAACUUACGCAAUAACCUUUCACAAAAGCAAUGAGUAACGGAGAAACCUCAAUUUAACUCGGCACAAUUUACGGAAGUAAGAAAAAAGAAAGAAAAUGAAAUCUAUAGGUCUAAGGAUGGUAUGCAGUACUGAAAUAUAGUCAGGUGCCCAAAGCCUUGUGAAGCCUCUUCCAAAAUUGAGAAGUAAAACGUAGAUCUCUGUAAAAAAUAACCGAAACUGGAACUCCGUGCAGUCUUACAAGUUUAGAGACAUACAGUUUAGCUAAUUUUUAAAACGAGUAGUCUGUCUUGAUUCACAAAAAAUGAGCAAACUUGGUCAAUCAAUCAACAAUGACCCAAACCGAAUAUUUCUUAGAGGGUGUCAAAGGCAACCCGCUAACGAAAUCUAUCGCCACUCGCUCUCACUUCCACAAGGGAAUUUUAAUCGGCUGUAGUAGACCAGAAGGCAAUUGAUGCUCAGCCUUAACCAUCUGACACGUCAAACAAUAAGAGACGAAGACAGUAAUCUCUCAUUUCAAAUCGGACCACCAGUAGAUCUCUCGAGGAUCUGUAUAUAUUUUAUUCCUAUCGAGAUACAAAGCAUAGGGACUAUUAUGCGCUUUUUAGAAAAUCAAUUGCCUUAACUUCGUAUUGUUAGGCACACAUAUUUGACCAUUGAAAGACAAAACCCUGUCGCUGUUUAAUCUAAAAUUAGAAGUUUCACCCAAUUCAAUUUGACAAACACGCAGAAGCAGAGACUCAUCACUAAACUGUUUUCCACAAUUCUCAAAGUAACCCUUUUAGAGGCACAGUCGAGACUGACCCGAUGUUUCACAAGUCAAUCCAUUCCCAAAAUUAGAUUAUACUUACCAAAAGGUAAUUCUGUUAAAUUGGCUGAAAAUACUACACCUUGAAUUUCUAAUAGAUCCCGUUUAUAUACUUUGUUAACUUUAACUGACUGACCCAAAUGACUAAUUACAAAAACUUCUCUAGUAGUACAUUCAGCAAAAAUACCCAAAUUUACAAAAAUAGUACUAGAUACAUAAGAGUGUGUAGACCAAAUGUCAAUCAAGGUAAAAUAGGGAACAUUAUAAAUAAAGAAUAUACAUACUAUAACGUCAGCGUUAUAUCCUCGCAGCGCCUCGCCGCAUACACAAGUGCAGGCUGACGUACCUUAGUCUGAACAACACCUUUACUCGGUGCUCCCUGUCCUCUACUAGACCCAUUACCACCCCUGACCAUACCAAGGCCCCGACGCGACUGCUGAGAUACUCUCGGAGGCUGAACAAGACCCGAAGCUGAAGUCUGUGCCAUAAUGGGCACCUGAUCUGAUUGGUGAAGGCAGUCUCGAACACGAUGCUCCAUCGUCCCACAACGGAGACAAGCUCUUAAUUUCCUCCAGUACUCACCCGAAUGACACCUCCUACACUCAUUACAUAGUUGAAUCUCAGUCAGUGCAGUUGGUACCUCAAUCCUUGGAGGCCUGUCAAAUCUAGCUCAUUUCUUAGGGUUUUGAACAGAACUAAAGAGACUCAAAUACCUCUUCACCUUAACCGGACCUCUCUCCCAGUCCCUCAUCUCUCGCUCAGUGCGCUUCACCUCUUCUGCUAUCUUUGUCUUAUCAACCAAGGCUGUAAAAACCCGUUCCCUCUAAGGAACUAUCAAAACCUGCAGAUCAUAACGUAGAACUUCUUCAAACUUCACACUCUUAUCAUAAUCAGAAGCAACCAAAGCUCGAGUAUACCUACUCAAUCUUAAAAACUCGACCUCAUAUUCAGCCACAGACCUCUCACCCUGAGCCAGACUUAUGAACUUGAGUCUGCAAGCCUCCACAUAACUUACCCCACAUACUUUCCCUAGAAGGCAUUCUUAAAGAUCUAAAGUGUUCUAUUUGGGUUGAGCACCCUGCUCAACCGUCAGCCACCACUAAUAGUCUUUAUCUCAGAGCAGAGAUAUAGCACCCCUUAACUUCUGAGUAGGAGUACAAUCAAUGUCAGUCAUGAAACACUCGGUGGCCUCCAACCAAUAUUCGGCCAUAGUAGGGGCAACUUUAGUGACACCCUUAAACAAUUCAGCACCAUUCGACCGAAGUCGCUUAGUAACAAACCCUCGGCCUCCAGAUCCAGAGUGGGUCUCUAAGACCCCUUUCAAGCACACGCAACAUUACCUGGGACAAUGUGUAGUACCCUGGGACCCUUUUCAAGAUCAUGUCUCUGCAGUAAAAGUACCUAUCGACUUCUAAGGUUAAUAUUGGGCAAGCUGCCUAUCGAGAAAGACUCAGUUUGAGCCCACAAAACCCAAAUCCAUGACUACCAUAUGAACUCAUUUCAAUAAAUUAUCUACAAUGUCAGAAAUACACAGAUCAGUUUAGAGUCUUCACCACAGUUCUCAUGUCAAUUCAUAUUAGAAUGUUUGACCAAACCACAGUUUCAAUCACUACUAUGUCUCAACAAAUCAUAAUAACUAAACAGGAAUACUUAUAGGUUUAGUGUCAGACAUUGAGAAAGACUCAGCUUGAGCCCAUAAAACUCACGUCCACAACUACCAUGUGAACUCAUUUCAACAAAUUAUCUACAAUGUCAGAAAUGCAUAGAUCAGUUCAGAGUCUUUACCACAGUUCUUAUGUCAAUUCAUUUUAGAAUGUUUGACCAAACCACAGUUUCAAUCACUACUAUGUCUCAACAAAUCAUAAUAACUGAACAGGAAUACUUACAAGUUUAGUGUCAGAAACUCGAUCCUUCAUAAACCAAUUAUCAGAGUUAUUUGAAGAAAUAGAAAAUAAUUAAUUCAGAACAUGACCUUGAUAUCACUAAAUGUAACACCCCUAGAGAGCUACAUCACAACAUUUUAGAAAAACCAACUCUUUAACCAUUUAAAGUUUGAAAAACAUGAUCAUAUAUAAUUAAGUCAAUACGGAGUCCAAAUCAUAGUCUGAAAUCUAAAACACACAUAAUAGUACAAGUCUAGAUAAAAUAUUAAAUAAAAAGUAAAGAAAUGGCUGAGCUCCUACCACGCCAACUCGCCUAUGCCUGUGGGUUACUUGAAAUCCAUACAACAACUAAGUGAGUUUGCAACUCCGUAUGUGUGUAACUUACAUUUAGUACUAAUUAGUAAACUACAAUUGUUAUCUCAUUUACCGUAGAUCAUCUGUUACUCAGAAUUAGAUACAGAAUAGAAACAAAGAAAGUCGGAUAUAGUUACAUAGUAUGUCAGAUACAGAUGCAGAACAUAUCAGAUUUAUAUGUAGAAUAAAUCAGAUUCAGAUGCAGAUUUCUAACCCCAUCUAUUACACACCAUCUUUAUCCAUCUCAACACACCAUAUAGGGCAUCAAGUACUCGUCCAUCCUUACACUGCGUAAUGACUAUAUCUCACGUUUCAGAAUAAUCAAAGCGUAAUUGUCAGAUCAGAAUGCGAUAAAUCGCCACAGAUUUAAUAGAUAAUUAAACAGUCACACUUCCUUCUUAAACAACACCAAUCUCAAUACGAAUGCAAUCCAACGGAUGCAGAUUUAAGUAUGCGGAGUAACAUAUUCAGAUCAUACUCAAUGUUAUGUGUAUAAUAAUAGUUUAUACAAAAACACCCACUAAUGGAUUUCAUAGCCAAAAUUAGAUUAUACUGGCUCUACUGUUACAUGGUAUGUCAGAUACAGAUGUAGAACAUAUCAGAUUUAUAUGUAGAAUAAAUCAGAUUCAGAUUCAGAUUUCUAACCCCAUCCAUUACACACCAUCUCUAUCCAUCCCAACACACCAUAUAGGGCAUCAAGUACUCGUCCAUCCCUACACUGCGUAAUGACUAUAUGUCACAUUUCAGAAUAAUCGCAGCGUAGCUGCCAGAUCAGAAUGCAAUAAAUUAGUAAACUACAAUUGUAAUCUCAUUUAUCGUAGAUCAUCUGUUACUCAGAAUUAGAUACAAAAUAUAAACAAAGAAAGUCGGAUACAGUUACAUGGUAUGUCAGAUACAGAUGCAGAACAUAUCAGAUUUAUAUGUAGAAUAAAUCAGAUUCAGAUGCAGAUUUCUAACCCCAUCCAUUACACACCAUCUCCAUCCAUCCCAACACACCAUAUAAGGCAUCAAAUGCUCGUCCAUCCCUACACUGCGUAAUGACUAUAUCUCACGUUUCAGAAUAAUCACAGCGUAGCUGCCAGAUCAGAAUGCGAUAAAUCGCCACAGAUUCAAUAGAUAAUUAAACAGUCACACUUCUUUCUUUAUACAGCACCAAUCUGAAUGCGAAUGCAAUCCAACGGAUGCAGAUAUAAGUAUGCGGAGUAACAGAUUCGGAUCAUUCUCAAUGUUAUGUGUAUAAUAAUAGUUUAUACAAAAACAAAUUACCCACUAAUGGAUUUCAUAGCCCAAAUUAGAUCAUACUGGCUCUACUGUUACAUGGUAUGUCAGAUACAAAUGUAGAACAUAUCAGAUUUAUAUGUAGAAUAAAUCAGAUUCAGAUGCAGAUUUCUAACCCCAUUCAUUACACACCAUCUCUAUCCAUCCCAACACACCAUAUAGGGCAUCAAGUACUCGUCCAUUCCUACACUGCGUAAUGACUAUAUGUUACGUUUCAGAAUAAUCGCAGCGUAGCUGCCAGAUCAGAAUGCAAUAAAUUAGUAAACUACAAUUGUAAUCUCAUUUACCGUAGAUCAUCCGUUACUCAGAAUUAGAUACAAAAUAGAAACAAAGAAAGUCGGAUAUAGUUAUAUGGUAUGCCAGAUACAGAUGCAGAACAUAUCAGAUUUAUAUGUAGAAUAAAUCAGAUUCAGAUGCAGAUUUCUAACCCCAUCCAUUACACACCAUCUCCAUCCAUCCCAACACACUAUAUAGGGCAUCAAGUACUCGUCCAUCCCUACACUGCUUAAUGACUAUAUAUCACAUUUUAGAAUAAUCACAGCGUAGCUGCCAGAUCAGAAUGUGAUAAAUCGCCAUAGAUUCAAUAGAUAAUUAAACAGUCACACUUCCUUCUUUAUACAGCACCAAUCCCAAUGCGAAUGCAAUCCAACGGAUGCAGAUUUAAGUAUGCGGAGUAACAGAUUCGGAUCAUACUCAAUGUUAUGUGUAUAAUAAUAGUUUAUACAAAAACAAAUUAUCCACUAAUAGAUUUCAUAGCCCAAAUUAGAUCAUACUGGCUCUACUGUUACAUGGCAUGUUAGAUAUAGAUGUAGAACAUAUCAUAUUUAUAUGUAGAAUAAAUCAGAUUCAGAUGCAGAUUUCUAACCCCAUCCAUUACACACCAUCUCUAUCCAUCCCAACACACCAUAUAGGGUAUCAAGUACUCGUCCAUCCCUACACUGCGUAAUGACUAUAUGUCACGUUUCAGCAUAAUCGCAGCGUAGCUGCCAGAUCAGAAUGCAAUAAAUUAGUAAACUACAAUUGUAAUCUCAUUUACCGUAGAUCAUCCGUUACUCAGAAUUAGAUACAAAAUAGAAACAAAGAAAGUCAGAUACAGUUACAUGGUAUUCAGAUACAGAUGCAGAACAUAUCAGAUUUAUAUGUAGAAUAAAUCAGAUUCAAAUGCAGAUUUCUAACCCUAUCCAUUACACACCAUCUCCAUCCAUCCCAACACACCAUAUAGGGCAUCAAGUACUCGUCCAUCCUUACACUGCGUAAUGACUAUAUCUCACAUUUUAGAAUAAUCACAGCGUAGCUGCCAGAUCAGAAUGCGAUAAAUCCUCACAGAUUCAAUAGAUAAUUAAACAGUCACACUUCCUUCUUUAUACAGCACCAAUCUCAAUGCGAAUGCAAUCCAACGGAUGCAGAUAUAAGUAUGCGGAGUAACAGAUUCGGAUCAUACUCAAUGUUAUGUGUAUAAUAAUAGUUUAUACAAAAACCAAUUACCCACUAAUAGAUUUCAUAGCCCAAAUUAGAUCAUACUGGCUCUACUGUUACAUGGUAUGUUAGAUAUAGAUGUAGAACAUAUCAGAUUUAUAUGUAGAAUAAAUCAGAUUCAGAUGCAGAUUUCUAACCCCAUCCAUUACACACCAUCUCUAUCCAUCCCAACACACCAUAUAGGGCAUCAAGUACUCGUCCAUCCCUACACUGCGUAAUGACUAUAUGUCACGUUUCAGAAUAAUCGCAGCGUAGCUGCCAGAUCAGAAUGUAAUAAAUUAGUAAACUACAAUUGUAAUCUCAUUUACCGUAGAUCAUCCGUUACUCAGAAUUAGAUACAAAAUAGAAACAAAGAAAGUCGGAUACAGUUACAUGGUAUGUCAGAUACAGAUGCAAAACAUAUCAGAUUUAUAUGUAGAAUAAAUCAGAUUCAGAUGCAGAUUUCUAACCCCAUCCAUCACACACCAUCUCCAUCCAUCCCAACACACCAUAUAGGGCAUCAAGUACUCGUCCAUCCCUACACUGCGUAAUGACUAUAUGUCACAUUUCAGAAUAAUCGCAGCGUAGCUGCCAGAUCAGAAUGUGAUAAAUCACCACAGAUUUAAUAGAUAAUUAAAUAGUCACACUUCCUUCUUUAUACAGCACCAAUCUCAAUGCGAAUGCAAUCCAACGGAUGCAAAUAUAAGUAUGCGGAGUAACAGAUUCGGAUCAUACUCAAUUUUAUGUGUAUAAUAAUAGUUUAUACAAAAACAAAUUACCCACUAAUGGAUUUCAUAGCCCAAAUUAGAUCAUACUGGCUCUACUGUAGGCCUAUGUUUGAUGAAAAUAAUGUUUACGGGCUUAGCAAAAAAUUUAGAAUAUUGGUCCACAUACCCGUGUGGUUUCACACGGCCUAGCACAUGGUUGUGUCACUUACCCGUGUGGUCCUAAUAUACAGACAAUGUGUUACACAGCUAGGAGACACGCUCGUGUCCUUAGCCUGUGUGGUUUUGAUGUACAAAUAGUGUGUUACACAGCCUAGACAUAUGUCUGUGUCUUUCGCCAGUGUAAACCCUACACAAGACAUACCUAGACAUGACCUGAAUACAUGUCUGUGUCCUUAGCUCGUGUGUCUCUAAUUUGUGAACAGUAAGCUACAUGGUCUGCCACAUCGUCGUGUGGCAUUGAAGGCAUGUUUUACGGUGUUUGAAUUUCACAAAAGAAGUCAAGUUUUUAUUAUACACACUUAAUACGGAUUCCAAAGCCUAAAAACGACAAAUAAAGUUUCAAUCAAUGACUUAAAUGUACAAUUCACACAAAAACAACAGUCAACCCUACAUGUUAAAAACUUCGACACUAACCUAAAAAGUAAAGUAAACACUAACCUAAAAAGUAAAGUAACUCUUACCGAUGAAUCAAUAGUAAUUACUCAAACUUAGACCGUUGAUGAAACGUUUUCUACAAGAUCUUCGCCUAACAAACCCUAAUCGCACAAUUAAAAAAUUUCAAACCAUAAUAGUAAUUUCUAACUUCAAAGAACAACAACAAAAACCUGUGAAAACAAAAGAGAAUGACGACAAAACUUACGUAAUAACCUUUCAACAAUGCAAUGAGCAAUAGAGAAACCUCAAUUUAACCCGACACAAUUUACGAAAGUAAGCAAAAAGAAAGAAAAUGAUUGAGGAAAGAAAAUAAGAAAAAUGAAGGAAAAAUAAAAUAGAAAAGAAAAACGUUUAAGAACAUAUCUUUUUAAACAACUAGAAACUAACAGCCUUUUUACCAAGUAACAUAAAAAAAAUAUCUCCUUAACGCAUGUGAAGAGACUCGAACACAAAAUCAGAAGGUAUACAGAAGCUUAAUCAUCGAGCCAGUAGCAUUAUUCUUGACAUAGAAUUACACAGAAUUAAACUUAAGUCGAUAGUUGAAGAAUAGAGAUUUAGUCAAUUUAAAACAAAAUCGCAAAACUUUCUAACAGUGAAACUCGAACCCCUAACCUCGAACAUAUAAGUAGAACACUUAACCACAUAUAUCAAGACUUAAUUAUGGACAGACAUUAACAGGAAAACAAUCAAAUUUUUGGGGCAGUGCAAUUUAGGUGUGAAAUUGUUAGAAUUUUAAACUUAGAUUAUGAAAAUGACUAAAUUAUAAAACUUAAUUGUUAGUUUCGUACAUUAGGGACCAAAUCAAAUAAAAUGACAAAUUAUUAUGAAAUAUUAAUAUGAAUAGAGAAUAGAAGGCCUAUAAUCAAUUUUUGUGAAAAUCAGAUUUUAAUCAGAAGCCCAAAAUUGAAAGUUAAGUUUGUCUCGAUUUUAGGUACUAAAUUGAAUAAAUUGAAAAAUAUGUGUAAAUUGAUAUUUGGUUAUGAAUUUGAUGGAAAUUGAUAAUGUGUUAUGUUUUGUGACUAUUUUUAUCUAACGUUGUAAUACCCUAUACUCGAUCCGAUUGCUAGGUCCAGGUACCGAAUUUCACAUUCAACUCGAUUAUAUUUACAAGUUACUAAUUUGCUUUAAUUACAUACUUAGUCAAAUCUCAAUUUUCAAAAUUUAUUUCUACUGAAACUCAUAUCUUACUAGUAAUAAAUUAUUACAACUUUGAUGUCUUAUUAAUCCUACUAGUUAUUUACAAAAUUUAAGCUUAACUCUAAUACAAACAUAUCCAACUUAAACCCUGGGGCAUGGCCACUAAGAGUGCCUCUCUAUAUGCACGAAACAAUUACCGGUCCCCCUCUAGAAUCUGGCAGUGUUUGGCUUAGUCCUUUCACUCGAUUCCAUAAUCAUCACCUACCAUAUAUACAAGUAGUAAAUGUUAUAAGGUUGGGAGGACUUAGCGAGAACCUAUAUAAUGGUAUUCAUAGAAUAUUUCUUAAAAUUAGGGGAAAAGGAAUUUUAUGCACAGGUGAAAAACUCCCUGAAGCUUGUAGGAAUAUUUGUAAAUUUUGAUGGUGUAGCCAUUGCCUUGUUUUCUCCGAGUGAACUUUAAGUGGACAUUGCCACCCUCUAUAACUAUGUUCUAAAAAUUUCUUUCUUAUGGUCUAUGAACCUGUUUAUAAUUAUUCUAGACUUUUCUUAAACCUGUUAGGAUAUGUCUCGUCAUUGAUUACCCGUAUUUGCCAUAAUGGAUUUGGCAAUGCCUACAAGCGUUUCAACCGAGACCUCCCAUAACUGCGAAUCCCUUCCUUGAUCACAUUGAUCUACACUGAUCUCCAUCCAGAUUUUUGUACCAUUUUAGUGGUAAACUGCUUUUUAACUUAAACUAUGCUUGACUACAUUCCUAGGUAAGGUCCAUUUCUAUUAUCCUCAUUCACGAACUUGAAUAUGAUACUUGGCUGACUGAAUAAUCACUCCCUUUUCAUAGCGGGCUCAUACCUGCAAUGUAACCCUAGAGUACUUGAAUAUGGUCCCUGCAGACAUUUUCGCGCUAACAAGUCUUAACUUGACAUCCCUUUUCUUAAAGAUAUCUGGCGGAUUCACUGAUUAGUCUGAUUAACUUAAAAUUUGUUUCAUUGACUCACUUAUUGUACCCAUUAUUAGAUUACUCAAUAGUUAUUGGCAAACUAAUAAUGGCGGGUACCCCAUACCUCGAAGAGUUUGUUAACUCUACUUUGUUAAAACCAAAAUUAUCAAAUUCCUCUUUUCGUCACAAUUUAACGAAUUCACUUACUAACAAACUUACCCGCAUUCUUGGACACUUCUACCAACUAUUUUCCUCUUCUUAGUUUAGCAGAUUCUCUUACUAUCUCGUUUACUCGCGUUCUCAUAUGCAUCGCAUUAAUCCAACUAUCCUACUAGCCGCGCGGAUCAUACAAUGAAUUUUCCUUUUUCGUGCCCAGUCAGGUUCCUAGUUUCCAUUAUGGCAGACUUUAUAUAUUGUCAUAACCCAGUUAUGAUCUUACACAAAUUAAACUCAUGUUUACUGUCCUAACGGACUCCAUAUGUUGCCAUAGUCUAGCUAUGGGCUUACACAUAUUAAACCCAUGUUCACUAUCCUGGCGAACUCCUUAUGUUGCCAUAGACUAACUAUGGUCUUACACAUAUUAAACCCAUAUUUAACUGGUUUGCAUGCUCUUUCACAUACUAUUGAUAAUUAAAUAUCGUAAAUGAGUAUUUGUAAUGCAACUUGUAACGUUUGAUCAUUUCUAAUAUCAAUAUACCAACUAAUACAUUACAUCCCCUAUUAACAUGACUUGGACUUGAACGGAUACAAGGAUACCAACCAACACACCAAAUUUGGCAACUAGUGCCUCGUUGGAAUGUAACAACCUAUUUUUCAAUGUGGUCGAAAAUAGUGGUUUCGAGACCACAAAUUUGAUGAGUAAGUUUGAGUAAUUAAUAUUUAUAUUAUACGAGUCAAUAAUAAAUUUAUAUUGAAUUUUGAUUUAAUGAAUUUUAACUAAUUGAAUUAAAAGUUAGUAUAAGUGGUUUAGUUCAAAAGUCGAGUGGUUUUUGGAAAUGAGGUACUAAGACCUCGUUUUCGUAAUUUAAGACCGUAAAUAUUUUUACUAAAAUAUUUACAAAGUCGUAUUAUAGGUGAAUUAAAGUUGGGUCUGGUAAUUUUGACGAUUGGUUGCUUAAUUAAGGUAAAAGGAUUAAAUUGCAAAAGAGGUAAAAGCUAAUUGUAUAGAUUUUAAAUAGUAGAGGGACCAAAAUGGUAAUUAAAAAAUGGUCAAAAAUUCCAAGCAGUGGUGGACAUGAUUAAAUCCACUAACUUCUGGGUUAUUUGCUCAUUAGUCCUAAUUAGUUUAGGAUUAAAUUGAAAUUCAACUUGUUUAGUUAAAUUUUAAAAUAAUUGAAGGACUAAUUGUGUAAUUAAACCAUCCUUGAGUGGUAACUAUGCCAUAAGUGGUAAUUGUGGAUGAUAAUGGGCUAGGAAUUGUUAAAUUUGAAUGAUAAUUAAAAGGUAAAAGGUAAAUAAAUAAACAAACUUUAUAAACAAAAGAGUCAUCUUCUUCAUUAAGCCAAAAAAAACUGAAUUAGCCAUUAGAGAAGAGAAGAGGAUUCGGCCAAGCUAGGGCUUCCAUUUGGUUAGGUAAUUCUUGCCCCUUUUUAGUAAUUUUUAUAUUUUUGAGCUCGUACUAGCUUAAUCUAGCUAACCUGGGGACUAAUUUGUAAAAAUUUUAAAUGUUUUGGAUGAUAUCAUUGAUGAUUUUGGUGUGUUCUUAAAUUUUUAUGAUAGAUUAUUAAUCUUGGUUGACAAAUGGGACUAUUUGUAAAGUAAUUUUUAGUAAUUUUAAUGUUUAAGGACUAAAACGUUAAAGUGAUAAAGUUAUAAGGACUUGAUGUGUAAUAACAAAAAAUUAUGCGUUGUAAUGGAGCGUUAUACUAUUCAGUUGAAUUUAAUUUAAGUUAAAAUUUGUUAAAUUGCAAGUUUUGGACUUAAGGACUAAAUUGCAUAAAAGUGAAAUAAUGGGGGCAAUUUCAUAAAAAUAUCAAAAAGACUUAAUUGCAUAAAAUGAAUUAAUUUUUUUGUUAGAAUUAGUGAAUUGAAUAGAAUUAUUAUUUUAGAUUCUGAACUAGUGGAAAAUUAAGGAAAAGAGAAUUAUCGAAUAACCCUUGUACAUUGUCGUUGCUGCAGAUUAGUUUGGUAAGUUCAUUCGGUUUAAUUUUAGCACCUUUAUAAAUGUACUAUAUGAACCUAAUUGCAUAAUUUUGGAUUACUAUUGAUUUUUGUAAUUGAAAAUGGAAAUAAUGAAUUGAUAUAACGUUGAUCACUGACUAAGAAGCUUUGAACCGUUACUACGAAUUAGUCUAGUAAGUUCGUACAAUUAUUUUUAUGUUUAUAAUGAUUAUUACAUAGUACAAGUUUUAUUUUAAUUAGAUCCAAUAUUGCAUUUAUUAUUUAAUGAUUAUAGAAUAAUUAAUAAAUGAAUAUAUUGAGUACCGGAUGUAACUAAAUAUUAGGCUUGUGCAAGUGUUAUCUAUUAGGCCUUGUGCUAGUGUCAUCUAUCAGGCUUUGAGCCGGUAAUACAGACCAUAGCGAUGGCUUGACAUCUUGCAUGUGUUGCAGAUUCUCUACAGCUUGUGUGAGUAGCAUCAUGAGCCGGUGAUUAUUUUAGCAGGUAUUAUGUACCGCUGAUACAGGCCAUACUGAUAGCUUGAGAUCCUGUAUGUGUUGCGGAUUCUCUACAACUUGUGUGAGCAGUAUCGUGAGCUAGUCAAAAUUCUGAAGUUAACUCGAAUGAGUGAUACCCUGAAUUACCUGAAAUAAGAUCUUCCUACACGAUAACUUGGAAUAUGAUUUGAAUUAUUGUAUUGUGCAAUAGUCACCUGUUGUGAGUUGUGAUUGACAGGAAUUCUGAUAAUAACCUUGUAACAGGAACUCUACUAUUUAAUCUUGUUAUUUGAUUUUUUGUAUUUAAUUCGGAAAGAUUUAUCGUUUAAUCGACGAACUUACUAAGCUUUACGAAAGCUUACUCGUGUUAUUUGUCUUAUUUCUUCUAG